This 253-nucleotide ribosomal RNA is filed under the name uncultured bacterium. RNAcentral's name for it is "partial 16S ribosomal RNA". It matches the Rfam family "Bacterial small subunit ribosomal RNA", at positions 524 to 776 of the family's 1533-position model. The record is from RNAcentral.
UACGUAGGGUGCAAGCGUUGUCCGGAAUUACUGGGUGUAAAGCGCGUGUAGGUGGCAGGCCAAGUCUGUUGUGAAAUCGCCCGGCUCAACUGGGCGCGGUCAAUGGAAACUGGUCAGCUGGAGGACGGUAGAGGCGAGUGGAAUUCCCGGUGUAGUGGUGAAAUGCGUAGAGAUCGGGAGGAACACCAGUGGCGAAGGCGGCUCGCUGGGCCGGUCCUGACACUGAGACGCGAAGGCGUGGGGAGCGAACGGG